Lineus longissimus is the source of this 645-nucleotide long non-coding RNA. RefSeq lists it as uncharacterized. The record is from RefSeq and is a predicted model, not a curated record. Lineage: Eukaryota; Metazoa; Nemertea; Pilidiophora; Heteronemertea; Lineidae. The transcript has 3 exons.
GGAAGAAGAUGUCGGAUUAUACCAAGCGUGGACUUCUCUCCCGAUAUUUCAAUUUUAUGCCUUUAUUCCGGUAUAAUUUAUAAAGCAGUUGACAACACAUCCUGAACUACAGGCCAACACUCGACACUAACGACUGGUGCAGAGGAGGAUGAGGAUACGACACGACUGACUGGAUAUUCGAAGAUGUUGACAACAUCAAUUGAACCAGCUGUGAUACCUUUGAACCAGCUGUGAUACCUUUGAACACUUACGUCAUAGUCAUUUGGACCCUUGGACCCUUACGUCAUAGUCACUUGGAAAGAUUUGGCGCCUGCAUAUAACCCAACUGGCACAGCCUCUCAACCAAUCGUCCAUCACCAAGAAUCAACCUCAACGGGUCGUCCUCAAGACUCAACCUCAACGGGUCGUCCUCAAGACUCGUCCAUCACUUGUCGUCGCCAAGACUCGUCCAUCACUUGUCGUCCAUCACUUGUCGUUCAUCACUUGUCGUCCAUCACUUGUCGUCCAUCAUCCGUCAGACUCUAUCAGUACUCAGACUCUAUCAAUUCUCUAUCAAUCAUUUCGACAACGCAAGGCACAUGGAAAUAAUAGCUCAAUAGCUUCCCAAACUGACAACACACAAAUGCUCUUGAUCUUUCCUUGUUA